Molecule: ribosomal RNA, 459 nt
Filed under: uncultured bacterium
Lineage: Bacteria
Description: partial 16S ribosomal RNA
Rfam family: Bacterial small subunit ribosomal RNA
Source: RNAcentral
CCUACGGGUGGCAGCAGUGAGGAAUAUUGGUCAAUGGUCGCGAGCCUGAACCAGCCAAGUCGCGUGAAGGAGGACUGUCCUACGGGUUGUAAACUUCUUUUAUAAGGGAACAAAGUGUGGUACGCGUGCCUUUUUGUAUGUACCUUAUGAAUAAGCAUCGGCUAACUCCGUGCCAGCAGCCGCGGUAAUACGGAGGAUGCGAGCGUUAUCCGGAUUUAUUGGGUUUAAAGGGUGCGUAGGCGGUCUGUUAAGUCAGCGGUAAAAUUGCGGGGCUCAACCCCGGCGAGCCGUUGAAACUGGCAGACUUGAGUUGGCGAGAAGUACGCGGAAUGCGCGGUGUAGCGGUGAAAUGCAUAGAUAUCGCGCAGAACUCCGAUUGCGAAGGCAGCAUACCGGCGCCAGACUGACGCUGAGGCACGAAAGCGUGGGUAUCGAACAGGAUUAGAUACCCGAGUAGUC